Long non-coding RNA from Rattus rattus (black rat), 778 nucleotides. RefSeq lists it as uncharacterized. Lineage: Eukaryota; Metazoa; Chordata; Mammalia; Rodentia; Muridae. The transcript is spliced from 4 exons. The record is from RefSeq and is a predicted model, not a curated record.
UCAAGUUCAAACCAGCCAUUUCAAAUAUUUUUAACAGAUGUAGCCCUGGUUCAUCUUCAAAGGGACUAAAGAAUGGCUCAUUCAGUCCAGCUCUUUCUAAUAUCUUCAAGCCUACAAAUCAGCACUACAGAAAUCCACCAUCUCAUCCACUGAUUGCUUUGCCAAGCUUUUAUCCUGCACCCAAAUCUUCAGAGAGUUCUGAUGUCCAGACUGUGUCUAAACCUACCUUUUUAAAGACUUCACCACAAGAUGAUUCAGGUGCUUCUUCUGCCUCGCUGUUAGACUCAACCAAGGAUAUACCGUCCUCCAACGUACUGCAGAAGAGCACAGGUUUGAUUUAUCAUUUCUUCUUAAAGUUAUAAAAAGAGACUUCAUUAAUACACAUAUAAAAGUUCUGUAUGGAAGCCUGAGGAUGGGUUCGCAGGUAAAGGUGCUUGAGACAAACUGAUAACCUAAGUUGGGUCCCUGGAACCCACAGAGUCAAACUCGAGAAUGAACUCCAUAUCAUGCAGAGAGAUGACAUUAAAUAAACAAACUUAAAAGAUUUUAAAAGCCAGCAAGGUGGCUCAAUGAGGAAAGAAAGUUCCUUGUCACUAAGUCUGGUGAUCUGAGUAUGGUCUUUGAAACCACAUAGUAGAAAGUGAGAACUGACUCUGGCAGGCUGUCCUCUAACCUCCACAGGUAUAACACAGUGUGCAUGGACCCACAUACAUACUUACACAUAGUUUAAAGUUUUUCUUCUGAAAAAUGGUAUAUUUUGCAUAUAUUAUAUGGUGGA